Molecule: ribosomal RNA, 497 nt
Filed under: uncultured bacterium
Lineage: Bacteria
Description: partial 16S ribosomal RNA
Rfam family: Bacterial small subunit ribosomal RNA
Source: RNAcentral
GAUGAACGCUGGCGGCGUGCCUAAUACAUGCAAGUCGAGCGAACAGACGAGGAGCUUGCUCCUCUGACGUUAGCGGCGGACGGGUGAGUAACACGUGGAUAACCUACCUAUAAGACUGGGAUAACUUCGGGAAACCGGAGCUAAUACCGGAUAAUAUAUUGAACCGCAUGGUUCAAUAGUGAAAGACGGUUUUGCUGUCACUUAUAGAUGGAUCCGCGCCGCAUUAGCUAGUUGGUAAGGUAACGGCUUACCAAGGCAACGAUGCGUAGCCGACCUGAGAGGGUGAUCGGCCACACUGGAACUGAGACACGGUCCAGACUCCUAAGGGAGGCAGCAGUAGGGAAUCUUCCGCAAUGGGCGAAAGCCUGACGGAGCAACGACGCGUGAGUGAUGAAGGUCUUCGGAUCGUAAAACUCUGUUAUGAGGGAAGAACAAAUGUGUAAGUAACUAUGCACGUCUUGACGGUACCUAAUCAGAAAGCCACGGCUAACUACGUG